UGUUGGUUGUGGUUUUUUAAAGAAAUUAUAUUUUUUAAUAUCUAGUGUCUCUGUGCACCUGGCUGGACCGGAGAAUUUUGUCAAGUUGCUGAAAAUGCAUGUUUAAUUUACCCAAAGAGUUGUACUAAUGGAGCAACUUGCGUUGAUUUGAGCCACCUGGGAGAGCAACCUUUGUUUCAGUGUUUGUGUCCUCAUGGUUUCACAGGAGAAUUCUGCAAGGUGCAAAUUGAUAACUGCAAUUCCAACCCAUGUGAAAAUGGAGGAACAUGUGUUACCUAUGAAGACCAUUUUAAGUGCAUUUGCCCCAUGGGUUUUGAAGGUGAAAGAUGUGAACUGGAUAUUGACGUCUGCCUAUUCUACAAUAUAAGCUGUGCCCCAGGAGCACUGUGCAUGAAUAAAUCUCAUGGAUUUAAUUACACGUGUUUAUCACCAUGUAUUGGAAACACAGAGGUAUGCGCAAAUGGAGGUAGCUGUUUCUAUGAUGAGGACAACCAGAGAUCUCACUGUGUUUGUGCUCUUGGGUGGACAGGACAAACAUGCCUGGAGAAUAUUAAUGACUGUGAGAUAAACCAGUGCCAACAUGGAGCCACAUGUGAAGAUGAAGUGAAUAAAUACAGUCCAUAUCAAAAAGUGAAGAAAAUUUUAUUAGAAGAACAAUACUGUGCUUACGUUAAAAAUCCACUAGUAUUUAUCAUGAAAUUAGUAGGUCUGAAGACUUGCAGUAGAACAAGAACUUCUGAAUUUAACUCACAAAUCCAUACUCAAGCUGUAAUGAAACUCUGCAAGAUCAUUUGA
RNAcentral lists this long non-coding RNA (795 nucleotides) under Numida meleagris (helmeted guineafowl). RNAcentral's name for it is "lncRNA (ENSNMEG00000015035.1)". Lineage: Eukaryota; Metazoa; Chordata; Aves; Galliformes; Numididae. The record is from RNAcentral.